CCGUUCAGGGGUAAACCUGAGAAACCCAAAAGAUCGAAUGGGGAGAUUCAUCGUCAGCGGCGUUGGCUUACGUGCGGUUCGCGAUGACCGGGACUUCGGUCUCGUGUCACGCGUCUGCUGCGGCAUGUCCAAUGUCGUCGACGUGCACUUCUCCCCUAGUAGGACGUCGCGACCCGUUGGGUGCCGGCCUACGGUGUAGUUCGUCGACUGACGCGUCGCGUUCACGCGCGCACGCGUCAGACACUGCUUACCCGGCCGACUGCCCGGCGGUAUAGAUCGCUUUAAAACGGUAGUGAGUCGCAUUAAGUGCGUCCGGCUCGUCGGCAGGCUCGUCUCGCUCGGAUUUACGGACCCAGUUCCGUUGCCGGGUGCUUGGCGCGGCCGUUGGCCAACGAAGUUCUCGGACUGGCUCUCACAUUCGAACGGAUAUACCGGUCGGCGACGCUACUGCUUUGGGUACUUUCAGGACCCGUCUUGAAACACGGACCAAGGAGUCUAACAUGUGCGCGAGUCAUUGGGACUUGUUAAGCCUAAAGGCGCAAUGAAAGUGAAGGUCGACCCUAGCGUCGACCGAGGGAGGAUGGCUCGCGUCACGAUGCGAGUCCGCACUCCCGGGGCGUCUCGUGCUCAUUGCGAGCAGAGGCGCACCCAGAGCGUACACGUUGGGACCCGAA
Molecule: ribosomal RNA, 674 nt
Filed under: Sycophaginae gen. sp. ex Ficus cyrtophylla YL-2016
Lineage: Eukaryota; Metazoa; Arthropoda; Insecta; Hymenoptera; Pteromalidae
Description: eukaryotic LSU rRNA
Rfam family: Eukaryotic large subunit ribosomal RNA
Source: RNAcentral